RNA transcript from Dioscorea cayenensis subsp. rotundata (Guinea yam), 1809 nucleotides. RefSeq lists it as uncharacterized. Lineage: Eukaryota; Viridiplantae; Streptophyta; Magnoliopsida; Dioscoreales; Dioscoreaceae. The transcript has 9 exons. The record is from RefSeq and is a predicted model, not a curated record.
GGGUCAACAUCUGACAUCUACUCUUUUCAAGCACUUACCUUGAUCACCUCAUGAAAAUUGUGCAAACACAUAUAUCCUAGUAUUGAAGGAGUUAGUUGCUGUAUUCUAGUGAUCCAUAUCUCGAGGCACAUCUGGCCGUUUAAUGCAAAUCGGACGGCUGAGAGCUCUCCCGCUCAUUUCAAAACCCAUCCCCCAAAUCCAGAGCAGCGACCAUGGAGUGAAGUGAGAGCGUGGCCGUCUUCGAUGCUUGCGAUCUCAACCCCCAGCGCUUCAUCAAUGAGGUCCUCAACGCCGCCGUUCUGCCUCCAGCAGGCUUCAAUCAUCACGGGAUGUGGGGAGAAGCAAUCUGAUGAGCUUGCCAAGGUUUCUCCAGACCUUGUUACAACUUUGGAAGAAAAUUCCUGUAGAUUUCAUCAGAAAUGUGUGGUUAUUUUCAAGGAUUAUGAACGAUUGAUCAUCAGAGAAUUUAACCAAAGGUGCUUGUUUGUGGGGCGGCCUUGAGUUGGGACGAACUGUGAAUGGAAGACAAAAACAUUGACCAAACUAUAAGAACUUCAAGCUGUUCCUUAGUCCUUUGUUUGUGGUUGGCAAAAAUGAUGAAUACAUACAGGAAGGAAAAAACCUAAAACUCUAUGGAAGUGGGACUUGAAAUAGUUUGUGCCCCCAUUUGGUUAACAUUUCUGCAUUCUUAGGUGUUUCAUACCUUCGCAACAUGACCCAAGAAAUUUUGGACAAGAGAAUGGACAUAUGGGGAAAAUUUUGUCUUCGACAUUGUUUUGCUAUACCUGAGGGCUUCACUCUGUGAAAAGCUGCGAGAAGCGCCUCCCAUUUAAGGGAUUGUCAAAGGGAUAACAGGUAUGGAAGUGCACCAAUUACGGCGGCUUACAAACCUCUUAGAAAAAUUCUCUUGCCGUAUGACUCUGGAGGGGUGGAAUUACUGUUUCUCCCACUGGGACCCACCCUCAGCAAGACUUGUCUGUCGAGAAUUUAUCAGUUGAAGGAGGAUAUGACACAGAACUUGAUUCUCACUUGAACUCAUUGAGAGAGAAGCUCGUUGCAGUUGGGAAGGAAUCUUCACAGCUUUAUAGAGUGAUCCAAGCUCUGGAAAAGCAGGCUUUCCCUUAGCAACAGUUUUGAUGCAUCCAUUGCCGAAGCACUAUUGUUGUAUGAGCAGAGCUCAACGCAUGAGAAUUUUCAAGGUAUAAUUGCACUUCUAAACACCUAGUAUAUCAUGUUGUGAUGCUGCUUUACUUGCACCUUAGUUGGGAGUUUAUGUUUAGAAGUUUUCACCAAAGCAUGUCAAUGUUUCUCAAGAUAAUUGUGAAACCAUUCUUUCAGUUUCCAAGAGAUCUUCCACUAAAGCAUUUCAGCAGUGGUAGAUUAGUGUAUGUACUUCUGCUGAGGAUGGAAUUCUUUCUUUCCUACUCUAGUCUUUGAUGAUCUUGGGGACCUUGAUUAUUUCUUCUUUCAUUUAGUUCAUGUUUGAUAAAGAGAAAUCCCAUGGUUGGGCAGGUAAAAAAAUCACAAAGAAAUUUUGGUUAGUUAUAUACAAACUAGUCAUACUUCAUUUGCAUGCGCAUCGGUUACUGACAAAACUAGUGGAGUCACUUAAGCUGCCAAAAUAACAGUUUUCUGUUUUCCUUUCUUGAUCAUGCUUGUUUCUUAGACUGGAUAGCCAUCCAUGGUUCCCUCUCUUGUAUGAUAUUGCAUACUUUCAUCAAAGAUUUGGAGCUUUAAAAAAAAAACCCUUAAGUGGUUUUGCUUAAAAUCUACUGUAUUAUUACCACGCCGCCAUACGUAGAUCCUUUU